RNAcentral lists this ribosomal RNA (442 nucleotides) under uncultured bacterium. RNAcentral's name for it is "bacterial SSU rRNA". It matches the Rfam family "Bacterial small subunit ribosomal RNA", at positions 26 to 507 of the family's 1533-position model. The record is from RNAcentral.
CCCUUAGAAGGAACGCUGGCGGCAUGCCUAACACAUGCAAGUCGAACGAGGCCCUUCGGGGUUUAGUGGCGCACGGGUGCGUAACGCGUGGGAAUCUGCCCUUUGGUUCGGAAUAACAGCUGGAAACGGCUGCUAAUACCGGAUGAUGACGAAAGUCCAAAGAUUUAUCGCCAGAGGAUGAGCCCGCGUUGGAUUAGGUAGUUGGUGGGGUAAAGGCCUACCAAGCCGACGAUCCAUAGCUGGUCUGAGAGGAUGAUCAGCCACACUGGGACUGAGACACGGCCCAGACUCCUACGGGAGGCAGCAGUGGGGAAUAUUGUACUAUGGGCGCAAGCCUGAUCCAGCAAUGCCGCGUGAGUGAUGAAGGCCCUAGGGUUGUAAAGCUCUUUUACCCGGGAAGAUAAUGACUGUACCGGGAGAAUAAGCCCCGGCUAACUCCGUG